This 779-nucleotide ribosomal RNA is filed under the name uncultured Burkholderiales bacterium. Its description in RNAcentral is "bacterial SSU rRNA". It matches the Rfam family "Bacterial small subunit ribosomal RNA", at positions 56 to 830 of the family's 1533-position model. The record is from RNAcentral. Lineage: Bacteria; Pseudomonadati; Pseudomonadota; Betaproteobacteria; Burkholderiales.
UGCAGUCGAACGGCAGCACGGGUGCUUGCACCUGGUGGCGAGUGGCGUACGGGUGAGUAAUAUAUCGGAACGUACCUUAUCGUGGGGGAUAACGCAGCGAAAGCUGUGCUAAUACCGCAUAAGCCCUAAGGGGGAAAGCAGGGGACCGUAAGGCCUUGCGCGAUUAGAGCGGCCGAUACCUGAUUAGCUAGUUGGUGAGGUAAAGGCUCACCAAGGCAACGAUCAGUAGCUGGUCUGAGAGGACGAUCAGCCACACUGGGACUGAGACACGGCCCAGACUCCUACGGGAGGCAGCAGUGGGGAAUUUUGGACAAUGGGGGCAACCCUGAUCCAGCAAUGCCGCGUGAGUGAAGAAGGCCUUCGGGUUGUAAAGCUCUUUUGUCAGGGAAGAAACAGCAGCUCUAAUACAGUCUGCGAAUGACGAUACCUGAAGAAUAAGCACCGGCUAACUACGUGCCAGCAGCCGCGGUAAUACGUAGGGUGCAAGCGUUAAUCGGAAUUACUGGGCGUAAAGCGUGCGCAGGCGGUUAUGUAAGACAGGCGUGAAAUCCCCGGGCUCAACCUGGGAAUUGCGCUUGUGACUGCAUAGCUAGAGUAUGUCAGAGGGGGGUAGAAUUCCACGUGUAGCAGUGAAAUGCGUAGAGAUGUGGAGGAAUACCAAUGGCGAAGGCAGCCCCCUGGGAUAAUACUGACGCUCAUGCACGAAAGCGUGGGGAGCAAACAGGAUUAGAUACCCUGGUAGUCCACGCCCCUAACGAUGCUGACUAGUUGUUCGGGAA